GAUGAACGCUGGCGGCGCGCCUAACACAUGCAAGUCGAACGGCACCCACCCUCGGGUGGAAGCGAGUGGCGAACGGCUGAGUAACACGUGGAGAACCCGCCCCCUCCUCCGGGAUAGCCUCGGGAAACCGUGGGUAAUACCGGAUGACCCCGCAGGGCCGCAUGGCCCCGCGGGCAAAGCCCAGACGGGAGGGGAUGGCUCCGCGGCCCAUCAGGUAGACGGCGGGGUGACGGCCCACCGUGCCGACGACGGGUAGCCGGGUUGAGAGACCGACCGGCCAGAUUGGGACUGAGACACGGCCCAGACUCCUACGGGAGGCAGCAGUGGGGAAUCUUGCGCAAUGGGGGGAACCCUGACGCAGCGACGCCGCGUGCGGGACGAAGGCCCUCGGGUCGUAAACCGCUUUCAGCAGGGAUGAGACAAGACGGUAC
RNAcentral lists this ribosomal RNA (431 nucleotides) under uncultured bacterium. RNAcentral describes it as "bacterial SSU rRNA". It matches the Rfam family "Bacterial small subunit ribosomal RNA", at positions 28 to 478 of the family's 1533-position model. The record is from RNAcentral.